CCACCCACCCCUCCAUAUGCACACACAAGACACAGACAGGAUGAGCGGAGAAGGCAAGGUGGUAUGUGUAACAGGGGGGUCAGGUUACAUAGCUUCAUGGCUAGUUAAUUUCUUGCUGCAAAAGGGUUAUACAGUCAGAGCCACCGUUCGCGACCCAAGUCAGUAUCUCUCUUUCCAAGUCUUCUUCCUUUCUCUGGUCUUUUUUUAGCCAAUUUGGUCAUAUAUUAGUUAGUGAUUUUGCAUGAUCAUCUUUGGCCUGGAAAAUAAACCCACAGUUACCUGUACAUUUAUCAACUUAACUAACCGAAGUUAGUUUUUCUUUCAUUUCUUUUUUGCUUUUUGCACUUUCUUUUUAUAUUAUACAUUGUGAAGUGUGAAUUCCAAAAAUCAUUUAGCAACCUUUAGUUGAAUUACAUUUAAUACCUACGCUUUUAUAAAAGUGUAACUAUUGAACUUCUAAACUCAUAUACAAACGUAAUUAUUAAACACAUAAACUUUAUAAAACGGUAAUGAAAAGUCAAAAUGUGCAUAAAUCACAUCCACAUGUUCAUCAACUGUAGGAAUUAAAUAUUUACACUUUACAAAGUUCAAACAUCAAAUAGGUUGCAACUAAAGAUACCAAUGACGGGUUGACCGAGUGGUAAUGCAUCCUUGUAGCCCACACCUGGACACAGGUUUGAGUAGUGGAGUCACCAUUCAUGGGAAGGUUUUAACAUAAUUGCAACCCAAACCGAAUAAAUUAGCCUUCCAUCCAACCAUAAAAUGGGAAUGGGGAUACCCUCAAGAGUAUCAAAUGACUUUUCAUGUAAGAUUCAGGGGUCAAAAGAUGUUUUUUAUAAUCUUUUUGAAGGUUCCAUUGAGAACAUUUUUACCAAUUUGUGAAUUUCUUAUUUUCAAUUCCACUGGUUAUUAGUUUUUGUUGCAUCUAGUGUUAAGUCCAUAUUUUUCUAUUUAGACCUGAUUCAGUAAAAACUUAAAAUAUAAAUGUGUGAGAUCCAUAUAUAAAAUAAGUGGAUCCACUAUAUAUUUUAUAUACAUGAUGGAUGCAGUCUAAGAAAUAAUUUUUCAUCCAGCACAUGAACGUGAUUUCGCAAGGUUUUUUUAAAAAAAAAUAUAUGUUACUUGUGAAUUGAAUUGAG
RNAcentral lists this unclassified non-coding RNA (1139 nucleotides) under Hevea brasiliensis (rubber tree). The record is from RNAcentral. Lineage: Eukaryota; Viridiplantae; Streptophyta; Magnoliopsida; Malpighiales; Euphorbiaceae.